GGACCAUGGCUCACUGGUAGAGCAUCUGUUUUGCAUGCAGAAGGUCUCAGGUUCAAUCCCUGGCAUCUCCA
Non-coding RNA from Podarcis lilfordi (Lilford's wall lizard), 71 nucleotides. Lineage: Eukaryota; Metazoa; Chordata; Lepidosauria; Squamata; Lacertidae. The record is from the annotation of a GenBank genome assembly.